AUUGAACGCUGGCGGAAUGCUUUACACAUGCAAGUCGAACGGUAGAGGGGGCAACCCCUCGAGAGUGGCGAAUGGGUGAGUAAUAUAUCGGAACGUGCCCAGUCGUGGGGGAUAACGUAGCGAAAGUUACGCUAAUACCGCAUACGAUCUAAGGAUGAAAGCGGGGGAUCGCAAGACCCCGCGCGAUUGGAGCGGCCGAUAUCAGAUUAGGUAGUUGGUGGGGUAAAGGCCCACCAAGCCAACGAUCUGUAGCUGGUCUGAGAGGACGACCAGCCACACUGGAACUGAGACACGGUCCAGACUCCUACGGGAGGCAGCAGUGGGGAAUUUUGGACAAUGGGCGAAAGCCUGAUCCAGCCAUUCCGCGUGCAGGAUGAAGGCCCUCGGGUUGUAAACUGCUUUUGUACAGAACGAAAAGGUUUCUACUAAUACUAGGAGCUCAUGACGGUACUGUAAGAAUAAGCACCGGCUAACUACGUGCCAGCAGCCGCGGUAA
RNAcentral lists this ribosomal RNA (496 nucleotides) under uncultured bacterium. RNAcentral's name for it is "partial 16S ribosomal RNA". It matches the Rfam family "Bacterial small subunit ribosomal RNA", at positions 30 to 523 of the family's 1533-position model. The record is from RNAcentral.